This is an RNA transcript of Benincasa hispida (wax gourd), 2125 nucleotides long. It is a transcript of the gene named shaggy-like kinase 13, with no coding region annotated. The record is from RefSeq and is a predicted model, not a curated record. Lineage: Eukaryota; Viridiplantae; Streptophyta; Magnoliopsida; Cucurbitales; Cucurbitaceae.
GUCAGUUGCGAAAGAAAGAGAGAACAAAAGAAGAAACAACGAAGAAGAGAAGACGGAGUCUCCGACUCUCCAUUGGUCAAAAAAAGAGUCUGCAAAGACUGAAAGAUCCUUUUUCAGCCCUUGGGGAAGAUUCGUAGGUUGCUUGAUUCUGCUUGGAUUUUAAUUUUUUUUUUUGCGAAAUGAUCUGCUUGCUUCAGGUUAGGAUUUGCACAGACUGUGCAUCAUAAGGAUCAAUUUGUAUCAGUUUAGCAUAUUAUGGCAUCUUCUGGUAUGGGUCCAGUUGGAAAACCCGGUAGUGGCGUUGCAUUAUUUGCUGAUAAACUUCCGGAGGGGAUUAAUGAAAUGAAGAUCAGAGAUGAGAAGGUUGAAAAGGAUAUGGAAGCCACAGUGGUUGAUGGAAAUGGUACAGAAACUGGACAUAUAAUUGUAACUACCAUCGGUGGUCGAAAUGGUCAAUCCAAACAGACAAUAAGUUACAUGGCAGAGCGCACGGUUGGGCAGGGAUCCUUCGGUAUUGUAUUUCAGGCUAAGUGCCUUGAGACUGGAGAAACUGUUGCUAUCAAGAAGGUCCUUCAGGAUAAGAGAUAUAAGAAUCGUGAGUUGCAAACAAUGCGCCUUCUCGAUCAUCCUAAUGUUGUUUCUCUGAAACACUGCUUUUUUUCCACAACGGAAAAGGAUGAGCUUUAUCUUAAUCUGGUGCUUGAGUAUGUACCUGAGACAGUUUAUCGGGUAAUAAAGCACUACACAAAGGCAAAUCAGCGGAUGCCUCUCAUAUAUGUCAAGCUUUAUGCCUAUCAGAUAUGUAGAGCUCUAGCCUACAUUCACGGAGGAAUAGGAGUAUGCCAUAGGGAUAUUAAGCCGCAGAAUCUACUGGUUAAUCCCCAUACUCAUCAAGUCAAGCUAUGCGAUUUUGGAAGUGCAAAAGUUCUGGUGAAAGGCGAGCCAAAUAUAUCAUAUAUUUGUUCUCGUUAUUAUCGAGCACCUGAACUAAUAUUUGGGGCUACUGAAUACACUACCGCAAUUGAUAUAUGGUCUGCGGGCUGCGUUCUUGCUGAGUUACUUCUUGGACAGCCUCUCUUUCCUGGUGAGAGUGGCGUGGAUCAGCUUGUUGAGAUAAUCAAGGUACUUGGGACUCCUACCCGUGAAGAAAUCAAGUGUAUGAACCCCAAUUAUACUGAGUUUAAAUUCCCACAAAUCAAGGCACAUCCCUGGCACAAGAUAUUUCACAAGCGAAUGCCACCAGAAGCAGUGGAUCUUGUCUCAAGACUCCUCCAGUACUCUCCAAAUCUUAGGUGCACUGCUUUAGAGGCAUGUAUCCAUCCUUUCUUUGAUGAACUCCGCGAUCCCAAUACUCGUCUUCCAAACGGGCGCCCCCUGCCUCCUCUCUUCAACUUCAAACCCCAAGAGCUAAAAGGUGCAACUUUAGAGCUCCUCUCCAAACUCAUCCCAGAACAUGCUCGGAAGCAGUGCUCUUUCCUUGAUUUUUAGAUCAAAACACAACGUGAAUGUUAUUUUCCUCGUCAGAUUCAGACAGGCCCAUGAAGCCCAAACAGGCAUUCAAUCCAAAAACUAAAAAACGUCAUCUUAUCAAAGAAUAGUGAACUUGAAGAGGCACCAUAUUGAAGGGGAUGAGCACAUUAGAAAAAUCAAGAGAUCAUGUAAUGUUUAUAAGAUAUAUGGACAACUCAUUUUAUUACAAUUGGUUUUGAGAUAGAAUUAUAUGGGGGGCGUUUGGGAACUCUAGAAAAAGGGAGGUGGCUAGUCAAGGAGCAGGGGUGGCUUGGCUAUGAUUUGGAUUAACAGAAAGCACCAUAUAAUUAAAUAGCAUAAACUUCUCCGUUAUCGUCUUUGGAUUCGUAAAUUGUUAAAAACCCAUGUUGGACUUUCACUUUCUUGUCGUUUCGAUCGAUUUUCUUCAGCUUGGGUUUCAAAUCGGUGUAACCAUCCCUCUCCAAUCAACGAGGAUAUCUCUCCGGUCGAUUCUGUCCCUUUCCUCGUCCUCGUUGAAAUGGUGUUUAAGAAACUAUAAAACAGAGAAAUAAUGGAAAUAGAGAAAGCUCGACGAGGAAGAUGAUGAUGGAGAAGAAAUAGGGGAAAGAGAGAGGAAUUGAUUUUUUACCCAAAA